RNAcentral lists this ribosomal RNA (253 nucleotides) under uncultured bacterium. RNAcentral's name for it is "partial 16S ribosomal RNA". It matches the Rfam family "Bacterial small subunit ribosomal RNA", at positions 524 to 776 of the family's 1533-position model. The record is from RNAcentral.
UACGGAGGGGGUUAGCGUUGUUCGGAAUUACUGGGCGUAAAGCGCGCGUAGGCGGAUUAGAAAGUUGGGGGUGAAAUCCCGGGGCUCAACCCCGGAACUGCCUCCAAAACUACUAGUCUAGAGUUCGAGAGAGGUGAGAGGAAUUCCGAGUGUAGAGGUGAAAUUCGUAGAUAUUCGGAGGAACACCAGUGGCGAAGGCGGCUCACUGGCUCGAUACUGACGCUGAGGUGCGAAAGUGUGGGGAGCAAACAGG